Molecule: ribosomal RNA, 443 nt
Filed under: uncultured bacterium
Lineage: Bacteria
Description: partial 16S ribosomal RNA
Rfam family: Bacterial small subunit ribosomal RNA
Source: RNAcentral
CUACGGGGGGCUGCAGUGGGGAAUAUUGGGCAAUGGAGGCAACUCUGACCCAGCAAUGCCGCGUGAGUGAAGAAGGUUUUCGGAUUGUAAAGCUCUUUGAUUAGAGACGAAGAAAGUGACGUUAUCUAAAGAACAAGCCCCGGCUAACUACGUGCCAGCAGCCGCGGUAAUACGUAGGGGGCAAGCGUUGUCCGGAAUUACUGGGCGUAAAGGGUGCGUAGGCGGUCUGUUAAGUUAGAAGUGUAAUACCCAGGGCUCAACCCGGGUGCUGCUUCUAAAACUGGCAGACUUGAGUGCAGGAGAGAGUAGUGGAAUUCCUAGUGUAGCGGUGGAAUGCGUAGAUAUUAGGAGGAACACCAGUGGCGAAGGCGACUACUUGGACUGUAACUGACGCGGAGACACGAAAGCGUGGGGAGCAAACAGGAUUAGAUACCCCAGUAGUC